Molecule: small nucleolar RNA, 95 nt
Filed under: Zygosaccharomyces rouxii
Lineage: Eukaryota; Fungi; Ascomycota; Saccharomycetes; Saccharomycetales; Saccharomycetaceae
Source: RNAcentral
AGGAGAAGGGUGAUGACAAUGUCAACUGACAUAAAGUGACUAGCGAUGCGAUGCUGUCUACUAAUUAUACCAUCUUUCGGGGCUGAUCUUUUCCU